RNAcentral lists this ribosomal RNA (1307 nucleotides) under Kryptoperidinium foliaceum. Its description in RNAcentral is "LSU rRNA". It matches the Rfam family "Eukaryotic large subunit ribosomal RNA", at positions 78 to 1399 of the family's 3401-position model. The record is from RNAcentral. Lineage: Eukaryota; Dinophyceae; Peridiniales; Kryptoperidiniaceae.
CCUUAGUAAUGGCGAAUGAACAGGGAUGCGCUCGGAUUGGGAAUCGUGGCCUUCGGCUUUGACUUGUAGUCUGUAGUUGCAAAGCUAACAGAGGCGCAGGCGAAAAUCUGUUGGAAUAUUGGGCAUAGAGGGUGAGAGUCCCGUCCGCCAUGCGCAGUCCUCCGUGUACAGCUUGUGCCAAAGAGUCGCGCUCCUCGGGAGUGGAGUGCAAAGCGGGUGGUAAAUUUCAUCCGAAGCUAAAUACAUGUUCGAGAUCGACAGUGGACAAGUACCAUGAGGGAAAGGUGAAAAGGACUUUGAAAAGAGAGCUAAAAGGACAUGAAUUCGCUGAAAGGGAAGCGAAUGGGACUAGACGCGUUGGGCGAGAUUGCAGCCAUGUUUGCGAGGCCCUGCCGUUUUGGUACAAACACUGCGGCGGGUUGCGAGCAAUGAUUCGUUGUGUCUCUCGUUCAGCAUGCGACCCGUAGCGCAUCUUUGAAGACAACGUGUGUGUGCGGAAUCCUUCCCUGGCGGGUGUGCACGCUGGUACGAAAUCCAUCGAUACGCUGCUUGGUUGCGACUUAGUUUCCUUCGACCCGUCUUGAAACACGGACCAAGGAGUCUAACACGUGUGCGAGUCUGGGGGGCCACACCCAGGAGCGAAACGAAAGUGAGAGCCGGGACUUCGCCGCACCGGCAACCGACUGACCAAUUGUGGGAGGUUUGAGUAUGAGCACACAUGCUAGGACCCGAAAGAUGGUGAACUAUGCCUGUGAAGAGUAAACUCAGGGGAAACUCUGAUGGAGGCUCGUAGCGAUACUGACGUGCAAAUCGUUCGUCAAACAUGGGUAUAGGGGCGAAAGACUAAUCGAACCAUCUAGUAGCUGGUUUCCUCCGAAGUUUCCCUCAGGAUAGCUGGAGUUGAACAGUUGUUUCAGGUAAAGCGAAUGAUUAGAGGAAUCGGGGGCGCGUAGCCCUCGACCUAUUCUCAAACUUUAAAUGGGUACGAGCCAAUGGUUGCUUAGGUGAACUUUUGGGAGAAAUGACGACUCUAAGUGGGCCACUUUUGGUAAGCAGAACUGGCGAUGAGGGAUGAACCUAUCGUUGGGUUAAGGCGCUGAACUGCCCGCUCAUUCGAUACCACAAAGGGUGUUGGUUCAUUUUAACAGCAGGACGGUGGUCAUGGAAGUCGAAAUCCGCUAAGGAGUGUGUAACAACUCACCUGCCGAAUGGACUAGCCCCGAAAAUGGAUGGCGCUCAAGCGUGUGGCCAAUACCCGACCAUCGUUGCAGUGCUGUAGCAUCGACGAGUAGGAGGGCGUGGGGGUU